GACGAACGCUGGCGGCGUGCUUAACACAUGCAAGUCGAACGGAAAGGCCCUGCUUUUGUGGGGUGCUCGAGUGGCGAACGGGUGAGUAACACGUGAGUAACCUGCCCUUGACUUUGGGAUAACUUCAGGAAACUGGGGCUAAUACCGGAUAGGAGCUCCUGCUGCAUGGUGGGGGUUGGAAAGUUUCGGCGGUUGGGGAUGGACUCGCGGCUUAUCAGCUUGUUGGUGGGGUAGUGGCUUACCAAGGCUUUGACGGGUAGCCGGCCUGAGAGGGUGACCGGCGACAUUGGGACUGAGAUACGGCCCAGACGCCUACGGGAGGCAGCAGGGGGGAAUAUUGCACAAUGGGCGGAAGCCUGAGGCAGCAACGCCGCGUGCGGGAUGACGGCCUUCGGGUUGUAAACCGCUUUCGCCUGUGACGAAGCGGGAGUGACGGUAAUGGGUAAAGAAGCACCGGCUAACUACGUG
This 468-nucleotide ribosomal RNA is filed under the name uncultured bacterium. RNAcentral describes it as "partial 16S ribosomal RNA". It matches the Rfam family "Bacterial small subunit ribosomal RNA", at positions 28 to 507 of the family's 1533-position model. The record is from RNAcentral.